Molecule: ribosomal RNA, 465 nt
Filed under: uncultured bacterium
Lineage: Bacteria
Description: partial 16S ribosomal RNA
Rfam family: Bacterial small subunit ribosomal RNA
Source: RNAcentral
GACGAACGCUGGCGGCGUGCUUAACACAUGCAAGUCGAACGGAAAGGCCCUGCUUGCAGGGUACUCGAGUGGCGAACGGGUGUGUAACACGUGGGUGAUCUGCCCUGCACUUCGGGAUAAGCCUGGGAAACUGGGUCUAAUACCGGAUAGGAGCCAUUUUUAGUGUGAUGGUUGGAAAGUUUUUUCGGUGUAGGAUGAGCUCGCGGCCUAUCAGCUUGUUGGUGGGGUAAUGGCCUACCAAGGCGGCGACGGGUAGCCGGCCUGAGAGGGUGGACGGCCACAUUGGGACUGAGAUACGGCCCAGACUCCUACGGGAGGAAGAAGGGGGGAAUAUUGAACAAUGGGCGCAAGCCUGAUGAAGAGACGCCGCGUGGGGGAUGACGGCCUUCGGGUUGUAAACUCCUUUCGCUAGGGACGAAGCUUUUUGUGACGGUACCUAGAGAAGAAGCACCGGCUAACUACGUG